CCUACGGGAGGCAGCAGUGGGGGAUAUUGCACAAUGGGGGAAACCCUGAUGCAGCGACGCCGCGUGUGGGAAGACGGUCCUCUGGAUUGUAAACCACUGUCCCCAGGGACGAAGAUGACGGUACCUGUGGAGGAAGCUCCGGCAAACUAGGUGCCAGCAGCCGCGGUGAAACGUAGGGAGCGAGCGUUGUCCGGAAUUACUGGGUGUAAGGGGAGCGUAGGCGGGACUGCAUGUUGGGUGGCAAAUCUACCGGCUCAACCGGUCGCCGCACUCAAAACUGCAGUUCUUGAGUGAAGGAGAGGCAGGCGGAAUUCCUAGUGUAGCGGUGAAAUGCGUAGAUAUUAGGAGGAACACCAGUGGCGAAGGCGGCCUGCUGGGCUGUUACUGACGCUGAGGCUCGAAAGUGUGGGGAGCAAACAGGAUUAGAUACCCCUGUAGUC
RNAcentral lists this ribosomal RNA (440 nucleotides) under uncultured bacterium. Its description in RNAcentral is "partial 16S ribosomal RNA". It matches the Rfam family "Bacterial small subunit ribosomal RNA", at positions 338 to 795 of the family's 1533-position model. The record is from RNAcentral.